AUUGAACGCUGGCGGCAGGCCUAACACACGCAAGUCGAGCGGAUGAAGGGAGCUUGCUCCUGGAUUCAGCGGCGGACGGGUGAGUAAUGCCUAGGAAUCUGCCUGGUAGUGGGGGAUAACGUCCGGAAACGGGCGCUAAUACCGCAUACGUCCUGAGGGAGAAAGUGGGGGAUCUUCGGACCUCACGCUAUCAGAUGAGCCUAGGUCGGAUUAGCUAGUUGGUGGGGUAAAGGCCUACCAAGGCGGCGAUCCGUAACUGGUCUGAGAGGAUGAUCAGUCACACUGGAACUGAGACACGGUCCAGACUCCUACGGGAGGCAGCAGUGGGGAAUAUUGGACAAUGGGCGAAAGCCUGAUCCAGCCAUGCCGCGUGUGUGAAGAAGGUCUUCGGAUUGUAAAGCACUUUAAGUUGGGAGGAAGGGCAGUAAGUUAAUACCUUGCUGUUUUGACGUUACCAACAGAAUAAGCACCGGCUAACUUCGUG
RNAcentral lists this ribosomal RNA (484 nucleotides) under uncultured bacterium. RNAcentral describes it as "partial 16S ribosomal RNA". It matches the Rfam family "Bacterial small subunit ribosomal RNA", at positions 30 to 507 of the family's 1533-position model. The record is from RNAcentral.